RNAcentral lists this non-coding RNA (67 nucleotides) under Scyphosphaera apsteinii. The record is from RNAcentral. Lineage: Eukaryota; Haptophyta; Coccosphaerales; Pontosphaeraceae.
CCCGUACAUUGUGACCGGGAAGAUCAUGGAGACCUGUAUUCUGCCGGACUGCAAAUGACUGUAAUUA